UCAAUUCUCACCUCCUACAAAAUACAUUAUAUUUAUAUUUAAUAGACUUAUGUCCUUGAGGAACUCAAUGAAUAAAGCAUUUAUAGCUUGUGUGGAAUAUCUUAAAAGAAUUAAAGAAUUGCACUAUUAGGCCAUGACAAAUAUAAAGUAUAGUCAAAAAAAAAUAUUAGCCACAUAUUAAAAAAGUAUAAACUUCUUGAGUUUAAUAGAAGCAAUAAUCAAAAGGUGGAUAAUGUACAAACUUUAAUUUAAUAGAGGCAAGUUUUUUAGUUUUCUAACAUUGAUUUUUUCUUUAAAGAGAGUAGUUUAUCCUUCUUUGUAGAAAUUUUUAUUUGACAUUAAAAGUUGUAGAUUACCCUCCUUUAAUUUGACUUAUGGAUUUUUCAAGUUAUUUGAAAUAGAAAAAAAAUUAUAGAUGU
RNAcentral lists this long non-coding RNA (419 nucleotides) under Physcomitrium patens. RNAcentral describes it as "long non-coding RNA (PPAT_LNC009396)". The record is from RNAcentral. Lineage: Eukaryota; Viridiplantae; Streptophyta; Bryopsida; Funariales; Funariaceae.